ACUCUUCAACCCAUCAGUUUCUUGUAGACUGUUUGGUGUUUGGAUUUUGAAUGUUGCUGGUCCUUUGACGUAGCUCGUUCGUAAUAUAUUAGCAUUUCUAAUUCGAAUUCGGAUUGACUCAGUGUAAUAGACUAUUCGCUGAGGACACUUUUAUUAGUGGCCGAAUAAGAUAAUUGUAGACGCUUCCAACCUCUAUAGUCAAUUUUAG
Molecule: unclassified non-coding RNA, 208 nt
Filed under: uncultured Leucosporidiales
Lineage: Eukaryota; Fungi; Basidiomycota; Microbotryomycetes; Leucosporidiales
Description: sequence contains ITS2
Source: RNAcentral